AAGAUUAGGAUUUGAUUUAGGAUUUGGUUAAGAUUUAUUUAGGAUUUAGGAUUUGGUUAGGAUUUAUUUAGGAUUUAAGAUUUGGUUAGGAUUUGAUUUAGGGUUUAGGAUUUGAAUUAGGAUUUAGUUAGGAUUUGAUUUUAGGAUUUAGGAUUUAGUUAGGGUUUGGUUUAGGAUUUAAGAUUUGGAUUAGGGUUUGGUUUAGGAUUUAGGAUUUGGAUUAGGAUUUGGUUAGGAUUUUAUUUAUGGUUUAAGAUUUGGUUUAAGAUUUGGUUGGGAUUUGGUUUAAGGUUUGUUUAGGGUUUGAUUUAGGAUUUAAGAUUUUAUUAGGAUUUAAGAUUCAAUUAAUUUUGGCCUAAAGUUUGAAUGAAGUUCAAUAGGAUUUUAACUAGAAUUAAAUUAAGAUUGAAUUGAGAUAUAUUUGAGUGAUAUUUGUGAUCCUUCUAAUAUUUCUUUAAG
Molecule: long non-coding RNA, 459 nt
Filed under: Physcomitrium patens
Lineage: Eukaryota; Viridiplantae; Streptophyta; Bryopsida; Funariales; Funariaceae
Description: long non-coding RNA (PPAT_LNC013702)
Source: RNAcentral